GGGGAAUUUUGGACAAUGGGCGAAAGCCUGAUCCAGCAAUGCCGCGUGCAGGAUGAAGGCCUUCGGGUUGUAAACUGCUUUUAUACAGGAAUAAAAAGGCUUACGUGUAGGCCAUUGCAAGUACUGUAUGAAUAAGCACCGGCUAACUACGUGCCAGCAGCCGCGGUGAUACGUAGGGUGCGAGCGUUGUCCGGAAUUCUUGGGCGUAAAGAGCUUGUAGGCGGUCCGUCACGUCGGAAGUGAAAACUCAGGGCUUAACCCUGAGCCUGCUUUCGAUACGGGCAGACUUGAGGGAUGUAGGGGAGAACGGAAUUCCUGGUGGGGCGGUGGAAUGCGCAGAUAUCAGGAGGAACACCAGUGGCGAAGGCGGUUCUCUGGACAUUUCCUGCCGCUGAGAAGCGAAAGCGUGGGGAGCAAACA
RNAcentral lists this ribosomal RNA (420 nucleotides) under uncultured Propionicimonas sp. RNAcentral describes it as "bacterial SSU rRNA". It matches the Rfam family "Bacterial small subunit ribosomal RNA", at positions 356 to 774 of the family's 1533-position model. Lineage: Bacteria; Bacillati; Actinomycetota; Actinomycetes; Propionibacteriales; Nocardioidaceae. The record is from RNAcentral.